AGCGGAUCAAUGGGGAGCUUGCUCCCCUGAGAUCAGCGGCGGACGGGUGAGUAACACGUGGGCAACCUGCCUGUAAGACUGGGAUAACUCCGGGAAACCGGGGCUAAUACCGGAUAACAUUUUCCAUUACAUAGUGGAAAAUUAAAAGAUGGCUCCGGCUAUCACUUACAGAUGGGCCCGCGGCGCAUUAGCUAGUUGGUGAGGUAAGGGCUCACCCAGGCGACGAUGCGUAGCCGACCUGAGAGGGUGAUCGGCCACACUGGGACUGAGACACGGCCCAGACUCCUACGGGAGGCAGCAGUAGGGAAUCUUCGGCAAUGGGCGAAAGCCUGACCGAGCAACGCCGCGUGAGCGAUGAAGGCCUUCGGGUCGUAAAGCUCUGUUGUUAGGGAAGAACAAGUACCGCUCAAAUAGGGCGGUACCUUGACGGUACCUAACCAGAAAGCCACGGCUAACUACGUGCCAGCAGCCGCGGUAAUACGUAGGUGGCAAGCGUUGUCCGGAAUUAUUGGGCGUAAAGCGCGCGCAGGCGGUCUCUUAAGUCUGAUGUGAAAGCCCACGGCUCAACCGUGGAGGGUCAUUGGAAACUGGGGGACUUGAGUACUGGAGAG
RNAcentral lists this ribosomal RNA (611 nucleotides) under uncultured bacterium. RNAcentral's name for it is "bacterial SSU rRNA". It matches the Rfam family "Bacterial small subunit ribosomal RNA", at positions 65 to 656 of the family's 1533-position model. The record is from RNAcentral.